Long non-coding RNA from Labrus bergylta (ballan wrasse), 417 nucleotides. RefSeq lists it as uncharacterized. NCBI's taxonomy places the organism in Eukaryota, Metazoa, Chordata, Actinopteri, Labriformes, Labridae. The record is from RefSeq and is a predicted model, not a curated record.
CUGCGCGUCAGAGCCAUUCCUGGACAAACCGCUUCACAGCUAAAGAUGUCGGACAAGAAGCAGACCGUCGACCUGGGCUUACUGGAGGAGGAUGAUGAGUUUGAAGAAUUCCCAGCCGAGGAUUGGACGGGGCUGGAUGAAGAUGAAGAUGCUCAUGUUUGGGAAGACAACUGGGAUGAUGACAACGUGGAGGAUGAUUUCUCAAACCAGCUGAGAGCGGAGCUGGAAAAACAUGGCUACAAGAUGGAGACCUCAUAACAGCUGACAAGGCCCUCUCAGCACUGGAUGACAUUGAAUAUGGACAUUUAUAUUUGAAUAUCACAAGUUGACCACACAACCGGAAGAUUUGUGAGAUGUUAAUUUGUUUCUUUUUUUUGUAAGAAAUAUUGAUGGAAGUAAAGUAUUUGGAGAAAACAG